This 72-nucleotide transfer RNA is filed under the name Parapedobacter composti. RNAcentral's name for it is "Parapedobacter sp. 4M40 tRNA". It matches the Rfam family "tRNA". Rfam says of the family: Transfer RNA (tRNA) molecules are approximately 80 nucleotides in length. The record is from Rfam by way of RNAcentral. Lineage: Bacteria; Pseudomonadati; Bacteroidota; Sphingobacteriia; Sphingobacteriales; Sphingobacteriaceae. RNAcentral also lists the same sequence under 1 other name.
GGCCCGUUCGUCUAGGGGUUAGGACGUGAGAUUUUCAUUCUCAAAACAGGGGUUCGAUUCCCCUACGGGCUA